Molecule: ribosomal RNA, 401 nt
Filed under: uncultured bacterium
Lineage: Bacteria
Description: bacterial SSU rRNA
Rfam family: Bacterial small subunit ribosomal RNA
Source: RNAcentral
UGGGGAAUCUUGCACAAUGGGGGCAACCCUGAUGCAGCGACGCCGCGUGAGCGAUGAAGCCCUUCGGGGCGUAAAGCUCUUUCGACCGGAACGAUAAUGACGGUACCGGGAGAAGAAGCUGCGGCUAACUACGUGCCAGCAGCCGCGGUAAUACGUAGGCAGCAAGCGUUGUUCGGAGUUACUGGGCGUAAAGAGUGCGUAGGCGGUUUUCUAAGUUCGGUGUGAAAUCUCCCGGCUUAACUGGGAGGGUGCGCCGAAGACUGGGAAGCUGGAGUGUGGGAAAGGCAGGCGGAAUUCCUGGUGUAGCGGUGAAAUGCGUAGAUAUCAGGAGGAACACUGGCGGUGUAGACGGCUUGCUAGACCAUAACUGACGCUGAGGCACGAAAGCGUGGGUAGCAAAC